GCAGGCGGUCCUUUAAGUNUGAUGUGAAAGCCCACGGCUCAACCGUGGAGGGUCAUUGAAACUGGGGACUUUGAGGUGCAGAAGGAAGGAAAGAGAUUCCACGUGUAGCGGUGAAAUGCGUAGAGAUGUGGAGGAACACCAGUGGCGAAGGCGACUUUUUGGUUUGUAACUGACGCUGAGGCGCGAAAGNGUGGGGAGCAAACAGGAUUAGAUACCCUGGUAGUCCACGCCGUAAACGAUGAGUGCUAAGUGUUAGAGGGUUUCCGCCCUUUAGUGCUGCAGCAAACGCAUUAAGCACUUCGCCUGGGGAGUACGGCCGCAAGGGUGAAACUUAAAGGAAUUGACGGGGGCCCGCACCAGCGGUGGAGCAUGUGGUUUAAUUUGAAGCAACGCGAAGAACCUUACCCGGUCUUGACAUCCUUUGACAAUUCUAGAGAUAGGACGUUUCCCUUYUGGGGACAGAGUGACAGGUGGUGCAUGGUUGUUGUCAGCUUGUGUUGUGAGAUGUUGGGUUAAGUCCCGCAACGAGCGCAACCCUUGAUUUUAGUUGCCAGCCUUAARUUGGGCACUUUAAGGUGACUGCCGGUGACAAACCGGAGGAAGGUGGGGAAGACGUCAAAUCAUCAUGCCCCUUAUGACCUGGGGUACACACGUGGUACAAUGGAUGGUACAAAGGGCAGCAAAACCGCGAGGUYGAGCAAAUUCCAUAAAACCCUUUUCAGUUUGGAUUGUAGGGUGCAACUUGCCUACCUGAAGCUGGAAUCGCUAGUAAUCGCGGAUCAGCCUGCCGCGGUGAAUACGUUCCCGGGCCUUGUACA
This 818-nucleotide ribosomal RNA is filed under the name Bacillus sp. 100d-iaefa. RNAcentral describes it as "SSU rRNA". It matches the Rfam family "Bacterial small subunit ribosomal RNA", at positions 571 to 1387 of the family's 1533-position model. Lineage: Bacteria; Bacillati; Bacillota; Bacilli; Caryophanales; Bacillaceae. The record is from RNAcentral.